Elgaria multicarinata webbii is the source of this 427-nucleotide long non-coding RNA. RefSeq lists it as uncharacterized. Lineage: Eukaryota; Metazoa; Chordata; Lepidosauria; Squamata; Anguidae. The transcript is spliced from 2 exons. The record is from RefSeq and is a predicted model, not a curated record.
UCCUUCCCUGGCUCGGGGCUUUCCUCCCACACCCCUCAAACUUUGCAGUCCUGCUAGGGCUCAUUAGGUUCCCCCUUUCUAUUUUUCAGCUCGAGGUUUUAACCCCCUGGCGCCUGAAGGCAAAUAUGAAAGCGUUCCACUGAGCAUGGGCAGAGUGCAACCCGCUGCGACGUGUUGAAACGGCUCUCAGGGUUCAACAUUUCACACUUCGGGGUUAUCCCGCCUAUUGUUGGAGUUGUUUACAUCAGGAUUGAUUCACCCCAGGAGAGCUGAUUUGGACACUGUGCCUGAGGCUCAGCAGCCCCAAUAUAUAAAGAUCUAUGUAAAUAAUCAACAAGGAUCCCUUCCUAAGGACACAGAAGAAGCCAGGGUGGUUUUUGUAUUUUUUAUUAUUGUUUUUUAAACAGUAAAAAAAUGUUUCAUUGGG